GGGUCAGUAGGUUGGUCGUGCCACCGGUACGUACUGGUCUCACUGAUUCCUCCUUCCUGAAGAACCGUAAUGCCAUUAAUUUGGUGGUGCGGGGAAACAGGACUGUUACUUUGAAAAAAUUAGAGUGUUUAAAGCAAGCUAACGCUUGAAUACAUUAGCAUGGAAUAAUGAAAUAGGACGAUCGAUCCUAUUUUGUUGGCUUCUAGGAAUGACGUA
This 216-nucleotide ribosomal RNA is filed under the name Glomeromycotina sp. RNAcentral's name for it is "partial small subunit ribosomal RNA". The stretch from base 40 to 216 matches the Rfam family "Eukaryotic small subunit ribosomal RNA", at positions 686 to 864 of the family's 1831-position model. Lineage: Eukaryota; Fungi; Glomeromycota. The record is from RNAcentral.